This 405-nucleotide ribosomal RNA is filed under the name uncultured bacterium. Its description in RNAcentral is "bacterial SSU rRNA". It matches the Rfam family "Bacterial small subunit ribosomal RNA", at positions 954 to 1362 of the family's 1533-position model. The record is from RNAcentral.
GCACAACGCGAAGAACCUUACCAGGUCUUGACAUCCAACUAACGAAGCAGAGAUGCAUCAGGUGCCCUUCGGGGAAAGUUGAGACAGGUGGUGCAUGGUUGUCGUCAGCUCGUGUCGUGAGAUGUUGGGUUAAGUCCCGCAACGAGCGCAACCCUUAUCAUUAGUUGCUACGCAAGAGCACUCUAGUGAGACUGCCGUUGACAAAACGGAGGAAGGUGGAGAUGACGUCAAAUCAUCAUGCCCCUUAUGACCUGGGCUACACACGUACUACAAUGGCGAUUAACAGAGGGAAGCAAGACAGUGAUGUGGAGCAAAACCCCAAAAUACGUCUCAGUUCGGAUCGUAGGCUGCAACUCGCCUACGUGAAGUCGGAAUUGCUAGUAAUCGCAGAUCAGCAUGCUGCGG